GUUGAACGCUGGCGGCCGGCCUAACACCUGCCCUUCGAGCGGGUUCAGGUCGCUUGCUCCCGGCCCUAGCGGCGGACGGGUGAGUACUGCUUAGGAAUCUGCCUAUUAGUGGGGGACAACAUCUCGAAAGGGAUGCUAAUACCGCAUACGUCCUACGGGAGACAGCAGGGGAUCUUCGGACCUGGCGCUAAUAGAUGAGCCUAAGUCGGAUUAGCUAGUUGGGGGGGUAAAGGCCUACCAAGGCGACGAUCUGUAGCGGGUCUGAGAGGAUGAUCCGCCACACUGGGACUGAGCCACGGCCCAGACUCCUCCGGGAGGCAGCAGUGGGGAAUAGUGGACAAUGGGGGGCACCCUGAUCCAGCCAUGCCGCGUGUGUAAAGAAGGCCUUAUGGUUGUAAAGCACGUUAAGCGAGGAGGAGGCUACUUUAGUUAAUACCUAGAGAUAGUGGACGUUACUCGCAGAAUAAGCACCGGCUAACUCUGUGCCAGCCGCCGCAGUAA
This 501-nucleotide ribosomal RNA is filed under the name uncultured bacterium. RNAcentral's name for it is "partial 16S ribosomal RNA". It matches the Rfam family "Bacterial small subunit ribosomal RNA", at positions 28 to 523 of the family's 1533-position model. The record is from RNAcentral.